Molecule: long non-coding RNA, 646 nt
Organism: Etheostoma spectabile (orangethroat darter)
Lineage: Eukaryota; Metazoa; Chordata; Actinopteri; Perciformes; Percidae
Exons: 3
Source: RefSeq, a predicted model, not a curated record
CACAGAUGUAAACUGGACUGAAUGAAAAGGCUCUGAAAAACCACUGAAAGCAGAUUAAAAGAAGGGAUUCCUAAUUUUUCAUCUUAUAUCUUUUCAUUUUGGGGAGACAAGAUGGCUGUUGGAAGGAUCGUACUGAUGUUCCUGAUUCUUAUGGCUAUUACACCUAUGGCAACAGUCACAGCAACUGCAGCACCAACAACCGGCGCAUCUACAGCUGCCGCACCAACAACAGCAGACACUGCUACAGCUGCACCAACAACAGCUGCACCCACAACUGCUCCACCAACAACUGCCGCACCAACAACAACAGCACCUACGACAGCUGCAGCUACAACAGCAGCAACUGCCGAACCAACAACAGCAGCCCUUACUACAGCAGCACCAACAACAGCUGCACCAACAACAGCAGCACCUACAACAGCUGCAGCUACAACAGCAGCACCAACAACUGCCGCACCAACAACAGCAGUCCUACUACAUCUGCACCAACAACAACCACACUUACAACAGCAGCACCAACAACGGCCGUACCUACAACAGCCACACCUACAACUGCAGCACCUACAACAGCGACACCUACAACUGCCGCAUCAACAACAGCAGCCCUUACUACAGCAGCACCAACAACAGCUGCACCAACAACAGC